Long non-coding RNA from Xenia sp. Carnegie-2017, 624 nucleotides. RefSeq lists it as uncharacterized. The record is from RefSeq and is a predicted model, not a curated record. The transcript is spliced from 2 exons. NCBI's taxonomy places the organism in Eukaryota, Metazoa, Cnidaria, Anthozoa, Malacalcyonacea, Xeniidae.
UGCAACACUAAAGAGUAAAAGAUGUAGUUAACACGGCAAUGAACUGAUUUGAUAUAAGUUUACAGAAACAAAGAAAUCUCUAGAUUCCCCGAAUAAUAGACGUCGAUUUGAAUGAGCUGUCUAAGUCAGAGUGAUUUCCACUUUACAGAGAUUUCAACCUUAGAGGGAUUUCCACUUAAGAUAGAUUUUCACCUAAAGAGAGAUUUCCACCUAAAGAGAGAUCGCCACUAAAGAGAGAUUUCCACCUAAAGAGAGAUUUCCACCAAAGAGAGAUCGCCACUAAAGAGAGAUUUCCACCUUAGAGAAAUUUGCAUAUUCUCAUACGACAUUUCAUCAAAAAACAUGUAACAGCCACGUGCGCAUCCUAAUGACUACAGGAAAACUUUGGAAGCUCCAGUAUUUUAAACAUGACGAUGUUCCAAUGGGAAUAUGGCUGAUGAUGUGUACCUUGAAAAAAGUUAUGAAAUUAAACCAAAAGCAAAAACCGAACAGAAGAAGCGAUAAUAACAGCUUUUUACAGUAGAUGUAUGUGAAAUUUUCAAGAUCUUUCAAAGUUCUAUACGCCAAGAAGCAGAAAAGAGUUGCCAAAAUAGAUUUUAAUAAUUUAAGCAUAAUUCCGGUGCA